RNAcentral lists this long non-coding RNA (1673 nucleotides) under Canis lupus familiaris (dog). RNAcentral's name for it is "lncRNA (ENSCAFG00000055116.1, ENSCAFG00805014407.1, ENSCAFG00845018357.1)". Lineage: Eukaryota; Metazoa; Chordata; Mammalia; Carnivora; Canidae. The record is from RNAcentral.
AAUUACAUACUUGGAUAAAUCAUUACUCUGACUAGUUUUUUGAACUAUAAAAUGUUUUGGAGAGACCUAACAUUUCUAAGGUCACUUUCUCUUCUAAAUAUUUAGGGCUCUAUUACUUAAUUCAUCAAAGUUCUGGCUUGCCAAAGUUUAAUUAUAGUAAGACCAGUUUUGCAAGUAAAUGCUCCCUUUAGAGUAAUGAAUUUGGAUUAUAUAAAUAUUAUGUACAGGACAUGUUUAUGUUAAGAAAGUUAAAUUUCCAACUUAUUUCUUAAAACCUCUUAAUUUACAAUAGAAAAAGUACUUAUAUUUUCCAAAAAAAUUAUAACAUAUGAUUAUUAUUAUAAAUGAUUCAAACUCUCUUAACAUGAAAACACUACUGUAUUUUCUCUUUGCUUUGGUAUGUUAAAAGAAUGGAAUAAAAAUUUUUUCUCACUUCUACAGAAAUUUUUAAUAUUAAAUUUUCCCUUUUCCUCAAAGAAAGAAGGACUGGUUUUAGGUUUCGGAUGUUUCCAAAUUUGGAUUUAAUAGAUCAUACAUAGGAUGCCUGGGUAACUCAGUGGUUGAGUGUCUGCCUUUGCCUCAGGGUCUUAUCCUGGGGUCCUGACAUUGAAUCUCGUGUGGGGCCCUCCAUAGGAAACCUGUUUCUCCCUCUGCCUGUCUCUGUGUGUCUCUCAUCAAUCAAUAAAUAAAAUCUUAAAAAAAAAUAAUAUGCCAUACAUGUCUCUUGUCAAACAAGAAGAAAAUAUAUUUUAAGAAAAGAUAAAAUAUAGGAUUCUCCUUAGAGAAACAAUAAAAGAGGAAUACUUUCCCCUGUAAAAAAGCAGUUCAGAUAAUUGAGAAGAGAGCUGCCUAACCAAGGAGUUGAUUGUGGUGAAGUUCCACAGGACUCAGCCUGGAAAGAGUUGAGUAAACAGACCAAAUAGCCAUUUUAAAGAGCUUUGUGGGACAGCCCUGAAGCCCUGCUGGAAUGGAAAUGUUGCCCUAACACUUCUCAGUCUUUACUUUAGAGAGAACUUUUCAUUGUCUUAGUCCAGAAGAUUAUUAUUAUCUUCAAAUAGUCAUUAUCAAGACCCACUGAAUAAAAAACUACUAAUUAUAGCAUAUUUCCCAAAUAACUUUACUAAUACAUUCACUCAGAUUGAAUGCACUUUAAAUGUACAAAUUAAAUCAGGACAUCUGGAACUUUCAAGAUUAUUGCCUAGGGAUCAUGUAUAAUAGCUAUUUAUUCAGCACAUUAUUACUUUUUCAAGGAACAAUUAAGCUCAUGAUCUUAUUUACUCUCCAUAAUAAAAACUGACAGUGAAGUACAAUUGAAAAAUUCUGGCCCAGGACUCAGAGAUCUAAGACCUAAUUUGGCUCUGUUUCCAAAGUCACUUAAUUUCACUGUAAAAAGUCACUUAAUUUCAAUAUGCAUCACUAAAUUCUGCUUUUUUCGGUAACAAAACACCAUUUUUUCAAUCUAUUAAGAGUUUAUGUUGUUCAGAUGAGACAAGUGCCUCCACUGGCAUAGGAGUUGAAGCCAUUGCCUGAAUGUCAGUGAUUUAUUCAUUAAUGGACAUAGAGACCAAUUAUGAGACAGCAACACUAAUUCCUGGGACUUUUGUUAGAAAAGAGACUUUCGGGGUACCUGGGUGGCUCAGUGGUUGAGUGUCUGCCUUUGGCUUAGGGUGUGA